UACGAAGGGGGCUAGCGUUGCUCGGAAUCACUGGGCGUAAAGCGCACGUAGGCGGACUCUUAAGUCGGUGGUGAAAUCCUGGAGCUCAACUCCAGAACUGCCUUCGAUACUGGGAGUCUCGAGUUCGGGAGAGGUGAGUGGAACUGCGAGUGUAGAGGUGAAAUUCGUAGAUAUUCGCAAGAACACCAGUGGCGAAGGCGGCUCACUGGUCCGGUACUGACGCUGAGGUGCGAAAGCGUGGGGAGCAAACAGG
RNAcentral lists this ribosomal RNA (253 nucleotides) under uncultured bacterium. RNAcentral's name for it is "partial 16S ribosomal RNA". It matches the Rfam family "Bacterial small subunit ribosomal RNA", at positions 524 to 776 of the family's 1533-position model. The record is from RNAcentral.